This 723-nucleotide unclassified non-coding RNA is filed under the name Hevea brasiliensis (rubber tree). The record is from RNAcentral. Lineage: Eukaryota; Viridiplantae; Streptophyta; Magnoliopsida; Malpighiales; Euphorbiaceae.
AACUCAAGCAUUAUACCACUCUUCCAACCCUUCCUCCCUCUACAAUGAAAAUUUAAGGAAAAAAAAUUGAAAAUUUUGGUAUCAAUCAACUGAAAAAACUGUAGCUAAAAUUUCAAUUUCUCUGAGGAAGAUUAUUGUGUACUGGCUUCAAAGUACUCGACUUCCAAUAGCUAAUAGGACACGGACUGCACACACCUUCUCACUAAUAUAUUAGAAGAACGAAAAUCUUAGGCCAUUGCUUGCUGCAAACAAAUUGUAUUCUUCCAUAGUAGUCUCUUUCCUAUUGCAAGCAGGAUCAUUUUCAACUUGAUCCGCUGAAACUUUCAAAGAACGAUCUCCAACAAUUCCAUCUCUCGAAAGCUCAGGAUCUGGUUUACAUCCAGAUAGAGCGACAGGCCCAUCAAAAUGGAACAAGGAAAAGCUGGUGUCACUGACAUGCAACUUGGCAGAAUUAUCCACUUUUCCACCUUCUCCACUUGGCAGAACUUCUGUUGGAUGUGAUGCGGCUGUUGCCUUCUUGUUUGUUUUGGCUUCAGUUAAAGCUUCCUGCCCUGAACACAUCUUCGUUUGCUCUUCUGAGUUAAAGCCAUUUGCUUUGCCAACUGGUUGAUAAACUGGCACUGGACCAGGAUUAAAAAUAGGAGUUGCCAAAUGCUGCAAGGGACCAUACUGCAUAUAUAACUGUGAGUUUCCGUUUAAACCAUAGCUAAGAGGGCCAGCAUA